GUUUGACCUCGGAUCAGGUAGGGAUACCCGCUGAACU
Molecule: ribosomal RNA, 37 nt
Filed under: Curvularia spicifera
Lineage: Eukaryota; Fungi; Ascomycota; Dothideomycetes; Pleosporales; Pleosporaceae
Also listed under: 1 other name
Description: partial 28S ribosomal RNA
Source: RNAcentral